Molecule: ribosomal RNA, 559 nt
Filed under: Escherichia coli
Lineage: Bacteria; Pseudomonadati; Pseudomonadota; Gammaproteobacteria; Enterobacterales; Enterobacteriaceae
Description: bacterial SSU rRNA
Rfam family: Bacterial small subunit ribosomal RNA
Source: RNAcentral
CUCUUGACAUCCAGAGAACUUAGCAGAGAUGCUUUGGUGCCUUCGGGAACUCUGAGACAGGUGCUGCAUGGCUGUCGUCAGCUCGUGUUGUGAAAUGUUGGGUUAAGUCCCGCAACGAGCGCAACCCUUAUCCUUUGUUGCCAGCGCGUGAUGGCGGGAACUCAAAGGAGACUGCCGGUGAUAAACCGGAGGAAGGUGGGGAUGACGUCAAGUCAUCAUGGCCCUUACGAGUAGGGCUACACACGUGCUACAAUGGCGUAUACAAAGGGAAGCGACCCCGCGAGGGCAAGCGGAACUCAUAAAGUACGUCGUAGUCCGGAUUGGAGUCUGCAACUCGACUCCAUGAAGUCGGAAUCGCUAGUAAUCGUAGAUCAGAAUGCUACGGUGAAUACGUUCCCGGGCCUUGUACACACCGCCCGUCACACCAUGGGAGUGGGUUGCAAAAGAAGUAGGUAGCUUAACCUCCGGGAGGGCGCUUACCACUUUGUGAUUCAUGACUGGGGUGAAGUCGUAACAAGGUAACCGUAGGGGAACCUGCGGUUGGAUCACCUCCUUACCU